UCCCUGGUGGUCCAGAAGUUAGAACCUGGCACUUUCACUGCCGGGGCCUGGGUUCAAUCCCAGGUCGGGGAA
Molecule: transfer RNA, 72 nt
Filed under: Bos taurus (domestic cattle)
Lineage: Eukaryota; Metazoa; Chordata; Mammalia; Artiodactyla; Bovidae
Also listed under: 2 other names
Rfam family: tRNA
About the family: Transfer RNA (tRNA) molecules are approximately 80 nucleotides in length. Their secondary structure includes four short double-helical elements and three loops (D, anti-codon, and T loops).
Source: Rfam by way of RNAcentral